GACGAACGCUGGCGGCGUGCCUAAUACAUGCAAGUAGAACGCUGAAGGAGGAGCUUGCUUCUCUGGAUGAGUUGCGAACGGGUGAGUAACGCGUAGGUAACCUGCCUGGUAGCGGGGGAUAACUAUUGGAAACGAUAGCUAAUACCGCAUAAUAGUAGAUGUUGCAUGACAUUUGCUUAAAAGGUGCAAUUGCAUCACUACCAGAUGGACCUGCGUUGUAUUAGCUAGUUGGUGAGGUAACGGCUCACCAAGGCGACGAUACAUAGCCGACCUGAGAGGGUGAGGGGCACCCGGGGGACGGGAACCGCGCCCAGACUCCCAGGGGAGGAGGCAGGAGGGAACUUUGGGGAAGGGAGGGAAGUCUGACGGAGCAACGCGGGGGGAGGAAAGAAGUUUUUCGGAGUGAAAAGCUUUUUUGAAAGAGAAGAAGGAGUGGGGGAGGGAAAAGUUCACACUGGGAGGGUAUUUAACCAGAAAGGGACGGCAAACUACGGC
RNAcentral lists this ribosomal RNA (495 nucleotides) under uncultured bacterium. RNAcentral describes it as "partial 16S ribosomal RNA". It matches the Rfam family "Bacterial small subunit ribosomal RNA", at positions 28 to 508 of the family's 1533-position model. The record is from RNAcentral.